UAAAAAAAAGACCGCAAAUAUGCACACCCCUAAACUGCCAAUCAUGUAACGCCUCAUUCCCACACUCCCUCCUUCCUGUUAAUCCCCCUCUCUCUCUGGCUUUCUCUCUUCGCUUUCAAAAACUUCCACCAAGUUUUUCUGCGACCAAGAUUCUCUCAUUCUCCACUCCCCCAAACCCUAACGUCCCACCACCAUGUCGCCGCCCGGCGGCGGCACAUGCAGUUGCUCUUCCAUUGAGAAUAAAGAUGAUCUCGGCGAUGGUUUUGACAAAUUGAACGAUCGGAGGUGUCCGCAUUGUAGACGAUCUCAUCUUCCUUCGUCGUCGUCUUCCUCGUCUUUGCUCAGCUUCGAUUCCGUUCCCCUGGAGGACUACGAUAAGCUAUGGAGGAUCUUCACUGCCUCGGUUAAAGGUUUCACCAUUGGAGCUGGUAUCAAAGGCGGCCUCUCUCUCUUUGCCGUCCUCACUCGCUUCAGACGCAGACGAUUAUCCACCUCCUCAAAGAACGCGGUAAUGGCUUCGAGCAGUGAGGAUGUGAUUUUAGCAAUUAAAGAAACUAUCAGAUACGGUCUGUUUUUAGGUACCUUUGCUGGUACAUUUGUUUCAGUGGAUGAAAUUAUAGCUACUCUGGGAGGACAUCGCAGGACUGCGAGAUGGAGGGCUUUGUUUGCUGGUGCUGUUGCAGGGAAUUCUCUUCUUCUAACCGGAUUGGAUACGCAACAUACGAGUUUGGCAAUUUACAUACUUAUGCGCGCUGCUGUAUUGGCAUCGCGCUGUGGAAUAAAAAGCAAGCGACUUGGGCGCAUUUGCAAACCUCUUACUUGGGCUCAUGGAGAUAUUUUCCUCAUGUGUCUCUCCUCUUCACAAAUUUUGUCUGCUUAUUUAUUGAAGCAGGAGAGCUUGCCUUCAUCAUACAAGUCUUUUCUCAAUAAACAUGGGGGAAAGGAUCCCAUUGUCUUGCAAGGAGUGAGAGAGAUGGCAUGUGGCAUGCCUUUUUCUAAUUUGGGGGUCAUAGAGAAGUACUACAAGACCAUAGGUGUCAACAUUAAACUGGAUCCACAAAUGAAAAUCCCCUGCUCGCUUAUACAUGGAAAUCAAUCAUGUGGUGCACAUUUUGUAUCAUUUCUUAUCCAAGCCUACAAAAGAGCAUUACCAGUUUAUUUUCCAGUUUAUUUGAUCCCUGCACUAAUAGUUCACCGGAAAGGCCUCUUGAAAAGGCCUUGCUCGAUUUUGAGGAAAGGUCUAUUUGGUACGGCAAGAUCAAGCUUGUUUCUGUCCGUCUAUUGCUCGUCUGCCUGGAUGUGGACAUGCUUCCUCUUCAGGCUGCUUAAGAGAUGUAAUGUUCCUAUGGUGGCAAUUGGGACGUUCCCAACAGGGCUGGCCUUGGCCAUUGAGAAGAAAAGCAGGCGUAUUGAGAUUUCACUCUACUGCCUCGCACGUGCUAUUGAGAGCUUCGUCACAUGCAUGUCUGAUAUAGGAUAUUUACCAGAGUCAAGGAGACUGAAGAGAGCAGAUGUAGUGGUUUUCAGCAUUUCAACUGCAAUUAUCAUGCACUGCUAUGCAAUUGAGAGGGAUGUGUUUCGAUCCAAGUACUUGAAUGUUCUUGACUGGGUUUUUGGUGUGCCUUUAUCCCCUUCUGAGACCCCACGCAAGAGAAGUUGAAUAUGCAUAGAAUUGGGAUCGAGAAGGCAUGAUGUGUACCAUAAAUGUGGUAGCAUCAGGUUUGAGUAAUAAUUUUAGGGUUAAAUUUAUAUCUUUUUGGAUAAGCAGUUGCCAACUUUUGUUUGUUUUAUUUUUUCAAUAAUUUUUUUUGAGGAAUUGGAUUGUGUUAGUGCCUUCUUAUGAACUCUAGUAGUGUGAUUGAUUAUGCCAAGGACGAGGGCUUCUCAUGCGUAAAAGAUUUGCAUCCCAAAUUUCUCGUUGUAGAUUCAAGCCAUGCCUGCCAAGAGCGAUGUAGUAGCAAAUGGGCUUAACAAAUUGGGAGAGGCUUCUCUUCAAUUGGAAAAACCAACCGGAAGGUGUUGUUGGGCCUCCAUGAGCUUACCACGGUACCGACAUCGAUGAUCCGAACCGUUCAUUAUAUAUUAGUUUAAUUGCUAAAAUGAAUGACUGAGAGUUGAAGUGAAAAGGGAGCUGCAGAUGAGCUUUACACUGAGAGUAUCAAGUUGUUAGGUGUAAUAACAAUUAGUAGUGAGUUAGGACUUGAGAUGCACAACAGUAACUGUUGUGUGGUUUUUUGAGCUCAUUUUA
Molecule: non-coding RNA, 2248 nt
Organism: Camellia sinensis
Lineage: Eukaryota; Viridiplantae; Streptophyta; Magnoliopsida; Ericales; Theaceae
Source: RefSeq, a predicted model, not a curated record